Molecule: ribosomal RNA, 490 nt
Filed under: uncultured bacterium
Lineage: Bacteria
Description: partial 16S ribosomal RNA
Rfam family: Bacterial small subunit ribosomal RNA
Source: RNAcentral
AUUGAACGCUGGCGGCAGGCCUAACACAUGCAAGUCGAACGGUAACAGGAAGAGGCUUGCUUCUUUGCUGACGAGUGGCGGACGGGUGAGUAAUGUCUGGGAAACUGCCUGAUGGAGGGGGAUAACUACUGGAAACGGUAUCUAAUACCGCAUAACGUCGCAAGACCAUAGAGGGGGACCUUCGGGCCUCUUGCCAUCGGCUGUGCCCAGAUGGGAUUAGCUAGUAGGUGGGGUAACGGCUCACCUAGGCGACGAUCCCUAGCUGGUCUGAGAGGAUGACCAGCCACACUGGAACUGAGACACGGUCCAGACUCCUACGGGAGGCAGCAGUGGGGAAUAUUGCACAAUGGGCGCAAGCCUGAUGCAGCCAUGCCGCGUGUAUGAAGAAGGCCUUCGGGUUGUAAAGUACUUUUAGCAGGGAGGAAGGGAGUAAAGUUAAUCCCUUCACUCAUUGACGGUACCCGAAGAAGAAGCACCGGCUAACUCCGUG